UACAUUGGAACCUGCCCUGUGAGUGGGGGAUAACUCGUCGAAAGAUUAGCUAAUACCCCAUACCACCUGAGGGUGAAAGUGGGGGACCGCCAGGUCUCCUGCUAUUGGAGCGGCCGAUGCCUGAUUAUACUAGUUGGAGAAGUAAAGGCUCACCCAGGCGACCAUCAGUAGCUGUGGCUGAGAGGACACAUACAANNNNNNNGGGACUGAAACACCGCCCCUACUCCUACCGGAGGCAGCAGUGGGGAAUUUUGGACCAUGGGCGAAAGCCUGAUCCAACCAUGCCCCCCGGGGGAAGAAGAGCCUUCCGGUUGAAAACCACUUUUUUCCCGAAGGAAAUUGCUCCGGUUAAUACCUGGGGUCGAUGAC
This 369-nucleotide ribosomal RNA is filed under the name uncultured Ralstonia sp. RNAcentral describes it as "bacterial SSU rRNA". It matches the Rfam family "Bacterial small subunit ribosomal RNA", at positions 114 to 476 of the family's 1533-position model. The record is from RNAcentral. Lineage: Bacteria; Pseudomonadati; Pseudomonadota; Betaproteobacteria; Burkholderiales; Burkholderiaceae.